Molecule: non-coding RNA, 29 nt
Filed under: Rattus norvegicus (Norway rat)
Lineage: Eukaryota; Metazoa; Chordata; Mammalia; Rodentia; Muridae
Source: RNAcentral
UACCAGACAUAUGACUAUGGCCUCCCAGC